Molecule: ribosomal RNA, 485 nt
Filed under: uncultured bacterium
Lineage: Bacteria
Description: partial 16S ribosomal RNA
Rfam family: Bacterial small subunit ribosomal RNA
Source: RNAcentral
GACGAACGCUGGCGGCGGGCUUAACACAUGCAAGUCGAACGGAAUCCAUGGAGCUUGCUCCGGAAGAUUUAGUGGCGAACGGGUGAGGAACACGUGAGAAACCUGCCCCGAACUUUGGGAUAACAGUUGGAAACAACUGCUAAUACCAAAUACCUCCGCGAUGUGGCAUCACAUUGCGAAGAAAGAAUUUCGGUUCGGGAGGGUCUCGCGGCCUAUCAGCUAGUUGGUGGGGUAAUGGCCUACCAAGGCAUCGACGGGUAGCUGGUCUGAGAGGAUGAUCAGCCACACUGGGACUGAGACACGGCCCAGACUCCUACGGGAGGCAGCAGUGGGGAAUCUUGUGCAAUGGGGGCAACCCUGACACAGCCACGCCGCGUGCGGGAAGAAGGCCUUCGGGUCGUAAACCUCUUUUAGCAGGGAAGAAGCGAAAGUGACGGUACCUGCAGAAAAAGCACCGGCUAACUACGUGCCAGCAGCCGCCGUAA